GAUGAACGCUGGCGGCGUGCCUAAUACAUGCAAGUCGAGCGAACAGACGAGGAGCUUGCUCCUCUGACGUUAGCGGCGGACGGGUGAGUAACACGUGGAUAACCUACCUAUAAGACUGGGAUAACUUCGGGAAACCGGAGCUAAUACCGGAUAAUAUAUUGAACCGCAUGGUUCAAUAGUGAAAGACGGUUUUGCUGUCACUUAUAGAUGGAUCCGCGCCGCAUUAGCUAGUUGGUAAGGUAACGGCUUACCAAGGCAACGAUGCGUAGCCGACCUGAGAGGGUGAUCGGCCACACUGGAACUGAGACACGGUCCAGACUCCUACGGGAGGCAGCAGUAGGGAAUCUUCCGCAAUGGGCGAAAGCCUGACGGAGCAACGUCGCGUGAGUGAUGAAGGUCUUCGGAUCGUAAAACUCUGUUAUUAGGGAAGAACAAAUGUGUAAGUAACUAUGCACGUCCUGACGGUACCUAAUCAGAAAGCCACGGCUAACUACGUG
Molecule: ribosomal RNA, 497 nt
Filed under: uncultured bacterium
Lineage: Bacteria
Description: partial 16S ribosomal RNA
Rfam family: Bacterial small subunit ribosomal RNA
Source: RNAcentral